This 434-nucleotide long non-coding RNA is filed under the name Salmo trutta (river trout). RNAcentral's name for it is "lncRNA (ENSSTUG00000003744.1)". Lineage: Eukaryota; Metazoa; Chordata; Actinopteri; Salmoniformes; Salmonidae. The record is from RNAcentral.
GCUGCUUCCUACUAUCUGAGAGAGAUAAACACCCACCAAAGCAUUUAUAAAUUCUCUGGUUGGGCUCCAAGCGACACUGAUACACUGACCUUUCACCUUUCUCUCUGGGUCAGCCCCCAGCAGACAGAUGGCAGUGAAAGAGGAAAAGGAGAGGACAACAUCACCUCAACCAAUAUGAGUGACGCGCAGAAGCUAACCCAGGACCAGCUGGCUGAGAGAGUGCUAGCAGAGGACAGUACCAGCCUGUUACCAGUACUAGAGGAGGAGGAGGAGGGCAUACAGGAGUCAGUGGUGCAGGUGCCUACAGUGGAAGUGGACUUGGCAGGUAGAAGGAAAUAGAAGAGCUAUGGCCUCCUGCCAACAUUGUGUGUGAGGGAGAGUGUGUGUGUGUAACACUCCUUUCACUGUCUCUACAGGGACAGUCAGUCUGGCAG